CAUGAGAUGCUCAUUUGAGCAAGCAAUGUUUGCAAGUGGAACUAUUAAAUAGUAUCAUGUAUGACUUUUCUUUUUUUUUGCUUUUGUUGAUAAAAUCUCCUUCCAGUUCCUAACGUUUCUUGCUUAAAUGAGUAUUCCAUG
RNAcentral lists this microRNA precursor (141 nucleotides) under Camelina sativa (false flax). RNAcentral's name for it is "miR828 stem-loop (cas-MIR828)". Its record names the gene cas-MIR828. Lineage: Eukaryota; Viridiplantae; Streptophyta; Magnoliopsida; Brassicales; Brassicaceae. The record is from miRBase by way of RNAcentral.